RNA transcript from Xyrauchen texanus (razorback sucker), 1405 nucleotides. It is a transcript of the gene named calpain-9-like, with no coding region annotated. The record is from RefSeq and is a predicted model, not a curated record. The transcript has 7 exons. NCBI's taxonomy places the organism in Eukaryota, Metazoa, Chordata, Actinopteri, Cypriniformes, Catostomidae.
GGUAUUGUUGCAAUAAACUGACAACUUGUUAUUACCCACCAUUGAUUGCAACAUCAACAAAUGUAAUUAAACAUAAUGACAGAAAGAUUUGGAAAGCUUUUACACUGCUUGAAUCCCACAUUUAGUUUUUCUAACAUUAACUGUAAUAACUGUGGUUUCCGAAAGUCACUGUGGUGAAUUUCUCUCAGUGUGCUGGGAAAGACUCAUCCCAGCAAAAUACAGACCGCAUGACAGACAUUCACUGGUAAUUUAUGUAAGAAAUAUGUGUUUUUCUGUGGGACUUGUGCAGCCACCAGCUCCCAACCCUCCAGAGGAGGAGACCGAUGAAGAGAAGGGUUUGAGGAGGCUGUUUGAACAGAUCGCUGGCUCGGAUAAAGCCAUCAGUGCCAGAGAACUGCAGCAGGUGCUGAACGGCGUUCUGAGCAGGAGGAAAGAGGUGAAGUUUGACGGUUUGACCCUCAACACCUGCCACAGCAUCAUAAACCUCAUGGAUGUUGAUAACACAGGAAUGCUGGAAUUCGAGGAGUUCAAAGUGUUCUGGGAUAAACUGAAGAAAUGGAUGAUGCUGUUCCUCUCUUUUGAUACGGAUCGUUCAGGACGCAUGUCCUCCUAUGAGCUCCGCAGUGCUCUUAACGCUGCAGGGAUGCAUUUGAACACAAAGCUUUUGCAGUUGAUUUGUCUCAGGUUUGCUGAUGAGCAUUUUGACAUUGAUUUUGAUGAUUACCUGACCUGCAUCGUUCGCCUGGAGAAUAUGUUCCGUAAGUGGGCGUGGCCAACAUGAGACAAACAUUUGGGGCCAUAUGUUCUAGGUUCUGUCUAGUCUUUAAAUAGCUUUUUUCUUCUAUCAAACAACAUACUUUGUAGGCCAUUUAAGAUGAUGUAAGUAGUACAACAAUUAUUGUGUUCCAAAAACAUGUGCAACGUAAAUAAAACUUGAAAACCACUUAUUUCAAUGCAUGUAUUGUCCUUUGUUCCAGGGGUUUUUCAGGCCUUUGACAGGCAAAAGACAGGAGAAAUCAGCCUAAACAUUCAACAGUUCCUGUUUUUGUCCAUGAAUGUCUGAAGAUUUCACCAAAUGAGAGAGAAGAAAAGGACAAAGACGUUUUAGAUGGAGUCAGUUGUGCCACUGUGGAUUUUGAGUGUUGAAUACACUUGUUUGUUUGUUUGUUUGUUUAGGGUUCUUUCCCAUUAGGCCUACUUCUGAAUAUGGGUUUAUAAGAGUUUUGCUGUGAUUAAAACUUUCAUGAAACUGUUUUGUAAACAAAGUCUCCGUGUUGUGUUCUUGGUGUUUAUGCUGUUUUGUUUUAGGGUGAUUUGAGGUAUAUUCACCUUUUAUAUUUGUUGCAACUUGCUGAAAUUGUUUUAUAUUCAGCUUUCAGCUAUAAUUUGCAUGUAAGAAUGAACA